This 480-nucleotide ribosomal RNA is filed under the name uncultured bacterium. Its description in RNAcentral is "bacterial SSU rRNA". It matches the Rfam family "Bacterial small subunit ribosomal RNA", at positions 1019 to 1498 of the family's 1533-position model. The record is from RNAcentral.
UUCGGGGACAGAGUGACAGGGGGGUGCAUGGUUGUCGUCAGCUCGUGUCGUGAGAUGUUGGGUUAAGUCCCGCAACGAGCGCAACCCUUGUCUUUAGUUGCCAGCACAUAAUGGUGGGCACUCUAGAGAGACUGCCGGGGAUAACUCGGAGGAAGGUGGGGAUGACGUCAAAUCAUCAUGCUCCUUAUGUUUUGGGCUACACACGUGCUACAAUGGCUGGUACAACGGGAAGCGAAAGAGUAAUCUGGAGCAAAUCCUAAAAGCCAGUCUCAGUUCGGAUUGUGGGCUGAAACUCGCCCACAUGAAGCUGGAGUUGCUAGUAAUCGUGAAUCAGAAUGUCGCGGUGAAUGCGUUCCCGGGUCUUGUACACACCGCCCGUCACACCAUGGAAGUUGGGGGCACCCGAAGUCGGCUAUCCAACCGCAAGGAGGAAGCUGCCGAAGGUGAAAUCAAUGACUAGGGUGAAGUCGUAACAAGGUA